AUUUUGAUAGAGAACAUUGGGAGAUGGGAACAAGAGAGACUAUAGGUUGAAAGUCCAACGUGGGCCAAAUAAAGAUGCUGGCACAGCUAUGUUCCUUUCUGGACGCUCCAGAGCAGUUUUGAAGAGGAAGAGGAACCAAAAUGAAGAGGAAGGUGGAGAUUUCCCAUAACCCUCACGCCGCAUGAUUCACGCGCUGCCAGAAGGCUCCAGGUGUUCCAAAUGCUCACCCUCUGCGGAUACCUCAUCAUCACUCCGAGGCUGGAGUUUACAUCCGGGUUCACGCUUGGAGUUGCAUGUGUUUGCACACGUGUAGAACGACCAUUCCAUCAUUAUGAUACCAGACUGAGAAGUUUCACUGCCUUAAAAUCCUCUGUGCUUCACCUAUUCAUCCCUCUCUCCCCUAAUCCCUGCCAUCACUCAUCUUUUUACUUGGGCAAAUGUCAGACAGGCUUCUUCACCGAGGAAGAUGCGUUUACGAUUCCUCCAUGUCUUUGCAUCACUUGAUAGCUCAUUUCUUUUUAGCCCUAGAUAAAAUUUAUGACUGGAUGGACCACAGUUUUUCCAUCCAUUCAGCUACUGAGGGACAUCCUGGUUGCUUCCAAGUUUUGAUGAGCACAAAUAAAGCUUCCACACGCUUGGUGUGGACGUUUUCAACUACUUUGGAUAAAUCCCA
Long non-coding RNA from Talpa occidentalis (Iberian mole), 673 nucleotides. RefSeq lists it as uncharacterized. Lineage: Eukaryota; Metazoa; Chordata; Mammalia; Eulipotyphla; Talpidae. The transcript is spliced from 3 exons. The record is from RefSeq and is a predicted model, not a curated record.